This 65-nucleotide transfer RNA is filed under the name marine eukaryotic metagenome. It matches the Rfam family "tRNA", at positions 5 to 66 of the family's 71-position model. Rfam says of the family: Transfer RNA (tRNA) molecules are approximately 80 nucleotides in length. Their secondary structure includes four short double-helical elements and three loops (D, anti-codon, and T loops). The record is from RNAcentral.
CCGUAGCUCAGUGGUAGAGCGCAUCCUUGGUAAGGAUGAGGUCACGGGUUCAAAUCCCGUCGGCG